AUGGAGAUCACCGUGCACUCGUCCAAGUCCUUGAAGCCCGACUACGGGGAUGGUUGCAGGGUCGCCGGCGACGUCAUCCCAUUAAGUGUGUUCGACAUGGUGAACUACGACAAGUACAUCUUCUACGUGUACGCUUUCCACCCGUCCGCGCCACCCAGCGUCGCCCUCGAGGCGGGGCUCGCCAGGGCGCUGGCCGCGUACCCCGAGUGGGCAGGCCGCGUCGGCGACGGCCCCGCGAUCGUGCUCUGUGACGCCAGCGCAUGGUUUGCCGACGCUACCACCGACUCCGAGCUGGGCAGCGGCGCCACCGCUCUUCUGGCCGCUGGAAGCAAGGUGCUGAGCCUAUACCCUAGUGGUGACGGCACCGAGGAGCUGCUGCUGGUUCAGGCCACGCGGUUUCGCUGCUGCUCCUUGGUCCUGGGCUUCACCAUGCACCACAAGGUGGCCGACGGGCCUGCCAUGUGGAACUUCAUGGCCGCGUGGGGCCAGGCCACUCGCGGCGUCGCCAUCAACCCCGUCCAGGUGCAUGAUCGGACGUCGCUCUUCGCAAGACGGGGCCCACCGCAGAUCAGGUUCGAGCACCGUGGCGUCGAGCUCAAGCCUCUUGACGAGAAGCCGGGUGGUGGUGGUACACAAGGUGCUCAAGUCGCGGGUAUCGGAGACGACGAGGUGGUGGUACACAAGACGCUAGACUUCAGCCGGGAGUGGAUCAUGGAGCUCAAGUCGCACGUAUCGGAGGGCGGCCCCCGGUCGUACUCCACGCUGCAAUGCCUGGCGGCGUACUUCUGGCGAUGCAUCACGAAAGCUCGCGGGCUCGACGGGCGGCAGGCCACCAUGAUCCGCAUCGCCGUGAAUGGGACGCGGAUGCGCCACCCGCGGGUACCGAAAGGAUACACCGGCAGUGUGGUGCUCUGGGCGUGGCCGACAACAACAGCGCGACAGCCGCUCGACCGGCCUUUGCGGUACGCCGUGGAGCUCAUAUCCCGGGAGGUGGCCCGGAUGGACGACGCCUACUUCAGGUCGUUCAUCGACUUCGCGAGCUCCGGGGCGGUGGAGGAGGAGAUGCUGGUGCCGACGGCGGACGCGGCGGAGGUCCGGCUGGGUAACAACGUUGACCUGGACAGCGUGCUAGCGAUCCCGUUCCCCAAGCUGGACUUUGGCUGUGGAGCACCCUUCUUCUUCAGGCCCUGCUACAGUCCUGCACCGGUGGACGGCGCCAUCUAUGUCGUCAAGUCCUUGGCGGGUGACGGGAGCGUGGACGCCUACGUGCCAUUGUUGAGCCGCACCAUGGAGAGCUUCAAGAAGUGCUGCUACUCCCUGCCGGUGCCGCCGCUGGUGGCCGCACGACUUUAG
Molecule: ribosomal RNA, 1353 nt
Filed under: Triticum aestivum (bread wheat)
Lineage: Eukaryota; Viridiplantae; Streptophyta; Magnoliopsida; Poales; Poaceae
Description: partial small subunit ribosomal RNA
Source: RNAcentral